UCUGCUCAAUGAUUUUUUAAAUUGCUGUGGUAUUUUGACUAUACAAAGGUAUUGUAAUAAGAUUUUAAUUGAGUGCUAAGAGAAUGGAUUUACAAAAAAAAUCUUUUUUAAAUUUAAAAAUUUAAGUUAUUUUUAUUUGUGAAGAAACAAUAAUAAAAAUUAAAGACAAGAAGACCCUAUGAAUUUUUAUAACCUUUUUGAAAAAUUUUUUAAAAAGGUUAUUUAAUUGGGGCGAUUUAAAAAAAUAAUAAACUUUUUAUUUUAAAUAUGAUCCAUUAAUAAUGAUUUUAUGCAAAAAAUACUCUAGGGAUAACAGCGU
This 319-nucleotide ribosomal RNA is filed under the name Haemaphysalis hoodi. RNAcentral describes it as "partial large subunit ribosomal RNA". The record is from RNAcentral. Lineage: Eukaryota; Metazoa; Arthropoda; Arachnida; Ixodida; Ixodidae.